Molecule: ribosomal RNA, 207 nt
Filed under: uncultured bacterium
Lineage: Bacteria
Description: partial 16S ribosomal RNA
Rfam family: Bacterial small subunit ribosomal RNA
Source: RNAcentral
CGGACUGCAGGCUGCAACCCGCCUGCACGAAGUUGGAAUUGCUAGUAAUCGCGGAUCAGCAUGCCGCGGUGAAUACGUUCCCGGGCUUUGUACACACCGCCCGUCAAACCAUGAAAGUUGGGAACACCCGAAGCCGGUGAGCUAACCGCAAGGAGGCAGCCGUCGAAGGUGGGUUCAAUGAUUGGGGUUAAGUCGUAACAAGGUAAC